CCUUACGCGUAGGGCUACACACGUGCUACAAUGGCAUCUACAGUGGGUUAAUCCCCAAAAGAUGUCUCAGUUCGGAUUGGGGUCUGCAACUCGACCCCAUGAAGUCGGAAUCGCUAGUAAUCGCGUAACAGCAUGACGCGGUGAAUACGUUCCCGGGCCUUGUACACACCGCCCGUCACACCAUGGAAGCUGGUUAUACCCGAAGUCGUUACUCUAACCUUUUUUGGAGGGGGAUGCCUAAGGUAGAAUUAGUGACUGGGGUGAAGUCG
RNAcentral lists this ribosomal RNA (269 nucleotides) under Thalassionema nitzschioides. RNAcentral describes it as "partial Bacterial small subunit ribosomal RNA". It matches the Rfam family "Bacterial small subunit ribosomal RNA", at positions 1200 to 1488 of the family's 1533-position model. The record is from RNAcentral. Lineage: Eukaryota; Bacillariophyta; Fragilariophyceae; Thalassionematales; Thalassionemataceae.